AGGGCCGUAGUCUAGCCUGGUAGGAUGCGCGGUUCGGGUCCGCGUGACCCCGGGUUCAAAUCCCGGCGGCCCCACCA
Molecule: transfer RNA, 77 nt
Filed under: Pyrobaculum ferrireducens
Lineage: Archaea; Thermoproteati; Thermoproteota; Thermoprotei; Thermoproteales; Thermoproteaceae
Description: tRNA-Pro (CGG) (tRNA-Pro-CGG-1-1)
Rfam family: tRNA
About the family: Transfer RNA (tRNA) molecules are approximately 80 nucleotides in length.
Source: RNAcentral